CCACCUCAGCCCCUGCCCAAACCUGGCCCAGGCUGUGCCCCCACAGUGCCAUGUCCUGCCCGCCAGGCCCACAGCUGACUGUGCCCCCACAGUGCCACGUCCUGCCCGCCAGGCCCACAGCUGACCAUGCCCCCACAGUGCCAGGCCCACAGCUGACUGUGCCCCCACAGUGCCACGUCCUGCCCGCCAGGCCCACAGCUGACCGUGCCCACACAGUGCCACGCCCACAGCUGACUGUGCCCACACAGUGCCACGUCCUGCCCGCCAGGCCCACAGCACACAGCCCUGGGGGCUCCAAGCAUGGAGACCCCCCAGGUAAAGGAGUCCUG
Molecule: long non-coding RNA, 329 nt
Organism: Zonotrichia leucophrys gambelii
Lineage: Eukaryota; Metazoa; Chordata; Aves; Passeriformes; Passerellidae
Exons: 3
Source: RefSeq, a predicted model, not a curated record